GUCGAAGAAAAAAGACUUCGGAUCUUUAAAGGGAAAAUCCCUUCAACU
Molecule: transfer RNA, 48 nt
Filed under: Leptotrombidium akamushi
Lineage: Eukaryota; Metazoa; Arthropoda; Arachnida; Trombidiformes; Trombiculidae
Description: tRNA-Arg
Source: RNAcentral